Molecule: RNA transcript, 3164 nt
Organism: Manis pentadactyla (Chinese pangolin)
Lineage: Eukaryota; Metazoa; Chordata; Mammalia; Pholidota; Manidae
Gene: ATXN7L2
Gene name: ataxin 7 like 2
Exons: 13
Source: RefSeq, a predicted model, not a curated record
UUUGCGCUGCGUCAGGACAGCGUGGGUUUGUUUCCCACAGCGGAGGAACAACUAGAGAGCCGUGGACCCUCCCCCACUCCAACCCCUGUGUCCUUCAGCACAUCCUACACACUCCCUCCCCUUGCCCUUCUGAUUCACAGCGCCCACCUCCCUGCACCUACCCUAUUCGAUCUACAGGGGAACGAAGUCGCUUCGUGACCGCCAGCCCGGGAAGGGGCGCCAGCCCGCUGGCGGAGGCACGGCUUAGAGGGGCGUCUUGGGCAGAGAGAGGUUUGGGGCUGGGGUGUGUGUGUGUUGAGAUUGGGAGAGUGCGCUGAUAGCGCAGAGAAUGUAUACACGAGGGUUAGACGUGGAGGACCUGGGGCUCUGGUCUCUUUUUUCCCUGCAAUCGUGCAUGACAGAGGGGUUCUCACAGCAAGCUCGGUAGGCAACAGCACCCUCUCCAAGACUGCAUUUCCCAGAAGGCAAUGCGCGAGUGAGUGUGCUGGGAAGGCGGCCUGUGCUGCACUUGCGCGAAGUGAGCUGAAAGGUGGGAGGGAAAGGACAGGCGUGCCCGCGGCGGGGCUGGUGGGAGGGGGCCGCGCGGCAGCGGCGCCGGGGCGGGCGCGCGUCCGCGGCGGUGAUGGCGGUGCGUGAACGCGCGACGGCAGCAAUGGCCGCACUGGAGCGGCGGGUGCCGAAUCUCGAUGACUUCGCGGGACAGAGCUGGAGUUCGUGGGUGGAGCGGGCCGACCUGCCCGCGGCUGACGGGGCUGAGUUGGAGGAGAGUAACAAAAACAUGAAGAAGUUGGAUGCCAUGACCCUCAUUAAAGAAGACAUGUCCAUCUUCGGGCACUGCCCUGCCCAUGACGACUUCUAUUUGGUUGUGUGUAACCACUGCAGCCAAGUGGUGAAGCCUCAAGCUUUCCAGAAGCACUGCGAAAGAAGACAUGGGCCCCUCAGCAAGCUUUACACCCGGGCCCCACCACCACCUCCAGCCCCUGCCAGCUCUCAGAAAUGCCAUGUAGUGAAUGGGCAGGGCCCAGCUUGUAGGGCCCCAGGUUCCACCAAAACCUCCUCCAGGGAGAAGGGCCAGGGGUCCCGGAGCCGUGGCCACCAACCUCCUGAGAAGACCCAGAAGGACAACCUCUGCCUUUUCGUGCCUGUGGUGAAUCUGGAGAAGAUGUCCGGUCUUCCGAAGCCUGAUGGACAUGGAAUCAGAGUGGCUCCACCCUCUGCUUUCCUCAGCCAGCCGGCUGGCCUCACAAAGGACUCACCUGGAAAAAACCUCAUGGCACCCCCUUCUAAAGAGCUUCCUGGCAGAGAGAACAUGGAGAUAACCCCCGGCGAGGGCCCCACUCGCUGUGCUGAAGGCAGUUCCCCUGAAAAGGAGCCUGGUGGAGCCAGGCUACCCCCCAAAACCCACAGGAAGAUGGCUCGGAAGGAGUGUGAUCUCAACAGGCAGUGUGGGGUAAUAAAUCCAGAGACCAAAAAGAUCUGUACUCGCCUGCUGACCUGCAAGAUCCACUCGGUGCACCAGCGUCGGGAAGUCCAGGGCCGGGCCAAGGACUUUGAUGUGCUAGUGGCAGAGCUGAAGGCCAACUCCCGCAAAGGGGAGUCUCCUAAGGAGAAGAGCCCAGGACGCAAGGAGCCAGUUCUCGAGCGCCCCUCCCAGGAGCCCCCCUCCUCAGUCCAGGUUGUGGCAGUGGCAGCUGCUCCCAGCAGCAACUUCUCUGCUCGUGUCAAGCAGACCUACCCGUACUGUGCACUGCCCAGGUCCCAGGCCUCCUCUGAGAGUGAGCUGGAUGAUGAAGGCCCCUGUGGUGGUGAUGGGGACCCAGGCCUGUUCCCCUUCCCCUUACCCCGGGUUGGGGCCCAGGCCUCCAGCGAGGAGAGUGAGGAGGAGGGGACAUCUGAUGACUUCCACCUCCCCACUGACUGCCAUUAUGCAACCCGGCCCCCACGGCCACAGGCGUUCUGCACCUUUGGGAGCCGGCUAGUGAGCCCAGGAUGCUACGUGUUUAGCCGCCGGCUGGACCGGUUCUGCUCAGCACUGAGCUCCAUGCUGGAACGACACCUCAGCUCACACAUGUGGAAGAAAAUCCCACCAGCGGCCGAGCCUCCAUCCCACCUUGUUACCUCCCCCCUCUCUGCUCCCCUGAGCCCAUCUUCUAUGGGCAGCUGCCCCCGUCUUCCAGGCCCACCCCCAAGAUCUGCCUACCCAGCCUCCACGCCCCCCACCAAGGACAGCCUUGUCCCCAACUACCCUGCAGGCUCCCCCAGUGUGGCAGCUGCCUGCAGCCAGGCAGAGUGCAUGGGCGGAAGCCAGGCCAUCACCUCACCACUGCCUGCCAACACGCCAUCCCCGUCCUUCAGCAAGCUGCCACCUUCAAAGGCCAGCAAGUCAUCCAAAGGCAAGGAUGGGGCUGAGGUGGAGGCCCCUUCUCGAAAGCGAAAAUUAUCCCCAGGCCCCACCACUUUCAAACGGACCUGCAUCCUCGAGCCCCCUGGAAAAGGCAAACCCUCGGGCUGCCGGGGUCUCUCCGCCAAGACUAAAACAGCCCUUGGCAUGGGGCUUAAUGGGACAGUGGGGCCAAGAGUGAAGCGGGCAGGUCCCCUGGACUGUCGGGGUUCCCCCCAUCUGUCCCCCACACCAGUCAAAACUCAGCUGGACAGCCAGGGAGCAGCUGGACAGCCAACCAAGGCCCUGCCAACCACCUGCCUCUCUGAGGAGGAGAUAGUGAAGAAGCGGAAAAACCUGGCCACAUACUGCCGGCCAGUGAAGGCCAAGCACUGCCAGGCUGGUGCCCCCACUGAUGCGGCCUGCUCUGUGCGCCGUAAGAAGCCGGGUCCAGCCAUGGCCUUUGAGGAGAAGUGUUCUACACUGAAGGAACUGGAGCUACCUCUGUCCCCAGAAGGAAAGGAAGUUGAACUCCAUGAGCUCUGAUAAGAAAGGUUUUCAGGUGCCAGGCAGUUUCUCCAGGGUUUCUGGUAAAACCCGCAGCCAGGUUUAUUUGCCUCUUCUGAUGGGAUCCCUGGAGUAGCAUGCUAUGGGUUAUCCAUAUGAUCUCGGCCAGGAGGGACUUACUAGAGUCUAAAGCCCAUUAACAAGAAAGUGCCUGCUCACUGCGAUGGAGCCGCCAGCACCUCCUCCCCUCCAGAUCUGGGCCCCAGGCUGCUGCCGC